AGGUGAAUAAGGAGGGUAAUCUCUCGAAAUUUACUGAAGCUCACAGAAUGGAGCAAGUCAGUACGUUUUUCUGCCGGUGAUGACGCUUUUGCUACAACAGUUCUAUGGUCACAUGUUAUUUUUGUUUAUAUUUUUUCAUGAUAAUGUGACAAGUCAAAAGAUAAUUAUUUAUUAAUUGUUAUUAAUUAAUGUGACGAUUUAAACUAUGAUCAUAAUAUAUAAUAAAUUGAUAAAACUAUCAAUAAGUCUGCAUUUAAAACACGAAAAAUGGUACAAAAAUGUAUUGUUUUCGAAUGUCAAACAUUAAAGGCAAAUAAAAAUGGUAUUUCUAUUUUUUCUGUACCAAAGGAUCCUAAACUUUUUGAUGCUUGGAAAUCAAAUCUCUA
Molecule: long non-coding RNA, 386 nt
Filed under: Aphidius gifuensis
Lineage: Eukaryota; Metazoa; Arthropoda; Insecta; Hymenoptera; Braconidae
Description: uncharacterized LOC122855089
Source: RNAcentral